CGUAAUAGCUCACUGGUCGAGAGGUCCUGCGCCGAAAAUGUACCGGGGCUGAAACAUGACACCGAAGCUGAGGAACCGAAAGGUUGGUAGAGGAGCAUUCGUAAAGGGAAGAAGCUGUACCGGAAGGAGCAGUGGACGUUUACGAAGAGAGAAUGCCGGAAUGAGUAGCGAGAUGGAGGUGGGAAUCCUCCAGGCCGAAUAUCCAAGGUUUCCAGGGUAAAGCUGAUCUGCCCUGGGUAAGUCGGGGCCUAAGGCGAGGUCGAAGGACGUAGCCGAUGGACAACAGGUUGAAAUUCCUGUACUGCAUGAUGACAGAACUGUGGGGACACGGGCAGAAAGCCUGGGCCGGAAAUGGAAAAGCCGGUGCAAGCGGAGGAGCCGUGUAGGAGGAAAAACCCCUAUGCAAGGCAGAGCCGUGACGCGGAGCGAAAUAAAAGUAGCGAAGCAGGCGGGCUGGCCGUCAAGAAAAGCCGCUAUUGUUCAUCAUGUGCCCGUACCGCAAACCGACACAGGUGGAUGAGGAGAGAAUCCUAAGGCCGGCGGAAGAAGUAUUGUUAAGGAACUCGGCAAAAUGACCCCGUAACUUCGGGAGAAGGGGUGCCAGGGAAACCUGGCCGCAGAGAACUGGUCCAAGCAACUGUUUAACAAAAACACAGGUUUAUGCAAAACCGCAAGGUGAAGUAUAUGAGCUGACGCCUGCCCGGUGCUGGAAGGUUAAGAGGAGAGGUUAGCGCAAGCGAAGCUUUGAAUCCAAGCCCCAGUAAACGGCGGCCGUAACUAUAACGGUCCUAAGGUAGCGAAAUUCCUUGUCGGGUAAGUUCCGACCCGCACGAAAGGCGUAAUGAUUUGGACGCUGUCUCGACAAUACAUCCGGUGAAAUUGAAGUACCAGUGAAGAUGCUGGUUACCCGCGCCAGGACGGAAAGACCCCAUGGAGCUUUACUCCAGUCUGAUACUGGGAUUCGGUGCUGCAUGUACAGGAUAGGUGGGAGGCUGAGAAUUAAGGACGCCAGUCUUUAAGGAGCCGGUGUUGGGAUACCACCCCUGCAGUAUUGGAUUUCUAACCUGCGGCCGUAAUCCGGCCGGGGGACAAUGUCAGACGGGGAGUUUGACUGGGGCGGUCGC
This 1124-nucleotide ribosomal RNA is filed under the name human gut metagenome. Its description in RNAcentral is "bacterial LSU rRNA". It matches the Rfam family "Bacterial large subunit ribosomal RNA", at positions 1133 to 2286 of the family's 2925-position model. The record is from RNAcentral.